CACGUAGGGUGCGAGCGUUGUCCGGAAUUAUUGGGCGUAAAGAGCUCGUAGGCGGUGUGUCGCGUCGGCCGUGAAAACCUGCAGCUUAACUGUGGGCUUGCGGUCGAUACGGGCAUCACUGGAGUUCGGCAGGGGAGACUGGAAUUCCUGGUGUAGCGGUGAAAUGCGCAGAUAUCAGGAGGAACACCGGUGGCGAAGGCGGCAUCCUGGACCGAGAUUGACGCUGAGGCGCGAAAGCUAGGGGAGCAAACGGG
Molecule: ribosomal RNA, 254 nt
Filed under: uncultured bacterium
Lineage: Bacteria
Description: partial 16S ribosomal RNA
Rfam family: Bacterial small subunit ribosomal RNA
Source: RNAcentral